Molecule: ribosomal RNA, 198 nt
Filed under: uncultured bacterium
Lineage: Bacteria
Description: partial 16S ribosomal RNA
Rfam family: Bacterial small subunit ribosomal RNA
Source: RNAcentral
ACGCUCGACACCUACUGGAGGCAGCAGUGGGGAAUAUUGCACAAUGGGGGAAACCCUGAUGCAGCGACGCCGCGUGAGCGAAGAAGUAUUUCGGUAUGUAAAGCUCUAUCAGCAGGGAAGAUAAUGACGGUACCUGACUAAGAAGCUCCGGCUAAAUACGUGCCAGCAGCCGCGGUAAUCUGAGCGGGCUGGCAAGGC